Molecule: long non-coding RNA, 1234 nt
Filed under: Salmo salar (Atlantic salmon)
Lineage: Eukaryota; Metazoa; Chordata; Actinopteri; Salmoniformes; Salmonidae
Description: lncRNA (ENSSSAG00000082618.1)
Source: RNAcentral
AUCAGAACAAUGUAAGAUAAAAUUAACAGAAUCCCAAGACUGUACAGUAUACGGUAUGUUUACUUGAGGCAGACAGAAUCAUUAUGGACCUUUUUUUCUCUCUUAAGACUGACAGUCCACAAAUUAAAAAGCUCAAUUCUACAUGAUGGUAAUGGCAGAAGAAUGCUUCAGAAUGCAUGCAGCCAUAGUUAGAUCAGGUUGAAUGCUUCCCCUUCUAGUCACACACACACACACACACAAUGAGCAUGGCUACAACACAGGAAGCUGACUAUAUAAUGGUGCCGGAGGGGAUGGCUGCCGUUUUAUGGCUGAAAUUUAUGGGCUCAAACUCAUUUUGUACAUAAUGUUGCUACUAACGUCUUUAACGAAAAUAGCUUCUGGACAUCAGAACAGCACAACUCACCUCGAACUGGACAAAGAUUUCUUCUUUAAUGAGUCCAACGCAAAGGAUAUACUGCUUCCCAGAGACCAGGCACAAAUCCCUGUCAUUCGUGUGAAGAAAAGAUGGAAAUACAGUGGGCGGAGGUCUGGGCGCAUUGUGAGAAUUCGUCGCCAAGAGUGCUGAGUUUGGUCUCGUGUGGGCCGGUCAGAGAAUACGACAACGACGACACCGCAGUCGAGCCACAAUCCCAAUCCUCCGAGCCCACUCGGCAGCAUACAUCAAAGUCCUGUUUCAUUUAAACCCUAUUUCAUGCAUUCAUUUCAUGGUGGUGCUCUUGUCAAAGCGCGGGUUUCGGGGAUGAACGUAACCCAGGUUUAUAAGGCUUAGAGGAAUUUGAGCACCACACAACCAGCUGUGUGUGUCUGUGUGUGUGCAUGCCGUGCAGGAUGUUAGGCAUUAAUAUGUGUAUUUGUGUUCAUAUGGUUAUAUGAGUAUAUCAAUGAAGUUGUGACAGGGUUGGGUAGGUUACUUUCUAAAUGUAAUCUGUUACAGUUACUAGUUACCUGUCCAAAAUUGUAUUCACUAAUGUAACUUUUGGAUUACCCAAACUCAGAAAUGCAAUCUGAUUACUUUCUGUUACUUUUGGAUUACUUUCCCCUUAAGAGGCUUUAGAUGAAGAUAAAAAGGAUCCAUCAAAAGUAUUUGUUGUGUCAUUAUAGUGGUCUCUGACUUGUGGUCAGACUCACUUAGGUGGAACAAAGGUGUCAUCAUUUUCUCCUGAGGUAGGCUAUCCAAUGGUGACUGGACAACUCUCAUAGGGGGCUUAAAAAGGAUUAGACUGAAUUAAAGCUG